AAUACAAACUGCGGGUUUUAAGAAAUCAGUUAGGUAGGUAAGUACCUUCCUAUUUGCUACACACUAAGUACCUACAAUGAAUUUUGCAAUUUUGUUGUUUACCCUCGCCAUGUCUGCAUGUGUUAACUAUGGCGUUUAUGGUUUACAUUGCUUAACCUGCCGAGGUGAGGAAAACGGCUGUGGAAGUGGAUCUACUACUCAAGGUGAAGAAUGUGACCCUGGACAUCCGCUUGAGAUAACAACUCAAUAUUGUGUUGCUUAUCGAGAGACAGUUGGCAGAGAUUGUAAUGGAACCCAAGUAAGAAAGUGCACUCCACGCUUGGUGCCCGGGACCGAUCCGUGUGCUGGUUCCGAUAAAUGUAACUGCUUCAAAUGUCAGUCGUAUGAUUGUAACAACCAAGUUCUAUAAGUGGACCAGAAGAAUAAUUUUAGUUUUAUAUGGUGGUGGUCUGUUCCUUACGAAAAAAUUGUUGUUUUUAUCUUUCUGUACCUUGUAAUUCUAAUUAGAAACAUUCAACCUUUCAAUUGUUCCUAUAGAUAUAAUCUUUAGUUUAAAAUGGAUUAAUUUUCGUGUAUCAUGUUAGGUAUCAUUUAUGCAAAGUAUUUAUAAAGGGUUGUAAUAAGCGUA
This is a long non-coding RNA of Photinus pyralis (common eastern firefly), 628 nucleotides long. RefSeq lists it as uncharacterized. The transcript has 3 exons. The record is from RefSeq and is a predicted model, not a curated record. NCBI's taxonomy places the organism in Eukaryota, Metazoa, Arthropoda, Insecta, Coleoptera, Lampyridae.